GUUUUAAGAUCACCGUUCUUGCAUCCUGAAUAUUAAACUUAUUUUUAUAUUACACCAAAGUAAAUUAAAUAUAUAUAAAAUGUAUACCAGCACUUUUAUAAUAUUUUGGAUAUUAGGAGUUGCAAGCCCAAUUCUGAUACCUCCGUUCUGUAAGGUUGCUAAACAUUUUUUAUACCUAUACCAACUAAUAAAAUUACAGGUGACCUGCUAGUAGUAGAUGCACCUUUAAAAUGCUACAAUGCCACUGAUUGUGAUUCUUAUAGAGAGUGCCUACGUCAGAAAUAAAUAUAUUAGUAAAUGGAUGUGCAUGGCUAUGAUGUUUCGAAGACCUCCCAAAUAAAAUCAGUUGUCAGCUACAUAUAUAGUACAUAUAUAGUAUAGAUAAGGAGCUGGGAGACUUGGAUGCUAAUGACGUAUAAUGGUCAUGGGACGAUGUCUGCAGCUUAAGACGAGUUUUCAGCAGACAAUUUGGCAAGCUGUCAACGCCACUCACAGUUGAAGGGGGCGUGGCAGUUAGGGGAUUUUAAGAGGGUGGGAGAAUCGACAACUCGCAGCUAAUGAUUGUCUGCAAGAGGACAUCAAUCAAUCCGAAGUUAAAGCAAAACCACCCUCUCGGGAGAAUUCUCCCUCGUUUAUGUGGUUCUCACAUUAAAU
Non-coding RNA from Drosophila melanogaster (fruit fly), 654 nucleotides. The record is from Ensembl. NCBI's taxonomy places the organism in Eukaryota, Metazoa, Arthropoda, Insecta, Diptera, Drosophilidae.